Molecule: long non-coding RNA, 395 nt
Filed under: Hordeum vulgare
Lineage: Eukaryota; Viridiplantae; Streptophyta; Magnoliopsida; Poales; Poaceae
Description: long non-coding RNA (HVUL_LNC019529)
Source: RNAcentral
AACUGAGAGGACUACAAGCAGAGCAUACAUUUGCUGACAGUGGAACCAGGUACAGGGAGAAACACAAAGGAGUAGAAAGAACUUUUCAGCAAGUGGCUCAAAUCUUGAGUUCAGUACACACCAUGUUGUUUGCGGGACAAUGUACUAACUUGGUAGAUAUUUUUUCUCUCCCGAUGUCUCUGAUUCCUACGUGUUCAUUGGAUCAAUUUAAUUAUUCUCUCGUUGUCUUCUUUCUGUAUGUUCUGGCAUCUAUUCGUAUCUUCACAUAUGAAGGAGGAAAUAUCAAAGUGUGCACACGAAUUACCGAACCUUGGUAACUGCUCGUGAGGCUGUAUACUUUGUUAUAUAAGGAAAUCAUUAUUGUACAGGUGAAGGUUGGCGGAGAAUUUAGUUCU